Molecule: ribosomal RNA, 403 nt
Filed under: uncultured Pseudomonadaceae bacterium
Lineage: Bacteria; Pseudomonadati; Pseudomonadota; Gammaproteobacteria; Pseudomonadales; Pseudomonadaceae
Description: bacterial SSU rRNA
Rfam family: Bacterial small subunit ribosomal RNA
Source: RNAcentral
GGGGAAUAUUGCGCAAUGGGGGAAACCCUGACGCAGCAAUACCGCGUGAGUGAAGAAGGUUUUCGGAUCGUAAAGCUCUGUUAUUGGGGAAGAAAAAAAGACGUUACCGACAGAAUAAGCACCGGCUAACUUCGUGCCAGCAGCCGCGGUAAUACGAAGGGUGCAAGCGUUAAUCGGAAUUACUGGGCGUAAAGCGCGCGUAGGUGGUUUGGUAAGAUGGAUGUGAAAUCCCCGGGCUCAACCUGGGAACUGCAUCCAUAACUGCCUGACUAGAGUACGGUAGAGGGUGGUGGAAUUUCCUGUGUAGCGGUGAAAUGCGUAGAUAUAGGAAGGAACACCAGUGGCGAAGGCGACCACCUGGACUGAUACUGACACUGAGGUGCGAAAGCGUGGGGAGCAAACA